GCAUCGGUGGUUCAGUGGUAGAAUGCUCGCCUGCCUGGCGGGCGGCCCGGGUUCGAUUCCCGGCCGAUGCA
Molecule: transfer RNA, 71 nt
Filed under: Cordylochernes scorpioides
Lineage: Eukaryota; Metazoa; Arthropoda; Arachnida; Pseudoscorpiones; Chernetidae
Description: tRNA-Gly
Rfam family: tRNA
About the family: Transfer RNA (tRNA) molecules are approximately 80 nucleotides in length. Their secondary structure includes four short double-helical elements and three loops (D, anti-codon, and T loops). Further hydrogen bonds mediate the characteristic L-shaped molecular structure. tRNAs have two regions of fundamental functional importance: the anti-codon, which is responsible for specific mRNA codon recognition, and the 3' end, to which the tRNAs corresponding amino acid is attached (by aminoacyl-tRNA synthetases). tRNAs cope with the degeneracy of the genetic code in two manners: having more than one tRNA (with a specific anti-codon) for a particular amino acid; and 'wobble' base-pairing, i.e. permitting non-standard base-pairing at the 3rd anti-codon position.
Source: RNAcentral